GACGAACGCUGGCGGCGUGCUUAACACAUGCAAGUCGAACGGUAAGGCCCUUCGGGGUACACGAGUGGCGAACGGGUGAGUAACACGUGGGUGAUCUGCCCUGCACUUCGGGAUAAGCCUGGGAAACUGGGUCUAAUACCGGAUAGGACUCCGGACUGCAUGGUCUGGGGUGGAAAGCUUUUGCGGUGUGGGAUGGGCCCGCGGCCUAUCAGCUUGUUGGUGGGGUGAUGGCCUACCAAGGCGACGGCGGGUAGCCGGCCUGAGAGGGUGACCGGCCACACUGGGACUGAGAUACGGCCCAGACUCCUACGGGAGGCAGCAGGGGGGAAUAUUGCACAAUGGGCGCAAGCCUGAUGCAGCGACGCCGCGUGAGGGAUGACGGCCUUCGGGUUGUAAACCUCUUUCAGCAUCGACGAAGCGAAAGUGACGGUAGGUGCAGAAGAAGGACCGGCCAACUACGUGCCAGCCGCCGCAGUAA
RNAcentral lists this ribosomal RNA (478 nucleotides) under uncultured bacterium. RNAcentral's name for it is "partial 16S ribosomal RNA". It matches the Rfam family "Bacterial small subunit ribosomal RNA", at positions 28 to 523 of the family's 1533-position model. The record is from RNAcentral.